UUGUCUUUUAAUUAAGGACUAGAAUGAAAGGUUUGACUAUGUAUUUCUGUCUUAUAAUAAUAUUUUGAAAUUUAUAUUUUAGUAAAAAAGCUAAAAUUAUCUAUAGGGACGAGAAGACCCUAUCAAGUUUUACAAUCCAGAAUUUAUUUUCAAAUUAAAUUUAAAAUUGUUUUGCUGGGGCAGCAGAUAAAAAUUUUUUAUUUCAAAAUUAUGAUAAAUAAAUCUUGAAAAAUCAAAAAAUUUUUAAUUAAAAAUAAAUUACUGUAGGGAUAACAGCAUAAUUUUUUUAGAGAGUUCUUAUCAUCAAAAAAGUUUGUGACCUCGAUGUUGGAUUAAAAUUCCUAAUUCGUGCAAUAAUGAAAUAA
Molecule: ribosomal RNA, 365 nt
Filed under: Paravaejovis confusus
Lineage: Eukaryota; Metazoa; Arthropoda; Arachnida; Scorpiones; Vaejovidae
Description: partial 16S ribosomal RNA
Source: RNAcentral